GAUAUACUCCCUCCGUCCCAAAGUUAUUGUCUUGAAUUUGUUUAGAUAUGGAUGUAUAUAGUCAUGUUUUAGUAUCUGGAUGCAUCCAUAUUUAGAAAAAUGUAAGACAAGAAUUUUGGGACGGAGGGAGCAGUAU
Hordeum vulgare subsp. vulgare (domesticated barley) is the source of this 136-nucleotide non-coding RNA. The record is from Rfam. Lineage: Eukaryota; Viridiplantae; Streptophyta; Magnoliopsida; Poales; Poaceae.